Molecule: transfer RNA, 16 nt
Filed under: unidentified plant
Lineage: Eukaryota; Viridiplantae; Streptophyta
Description: partial tRNA-His
Source: RNAcentral
GCGGAUGUAGCCAACG